UGUUGGUUCUCCCGCAACGCUACUCUGUUUACCAGAGUCAGGUCCGGAAGGAAGCAGCCAAGGCAGAUGACGCGUGUGCCGGGAUGUAGCUGGCAGGG
RNAcentral lists this signal recognition particle RNA (98 nucleotides) under Escherichia coli. RNAcentral describes it as "signal recognition particle sRNA small type". It matches the Rfam family "Bacterial small signal recognition particle RNA". Rfam says of the family: The signal recognition particle (SRP) is a universally conserved ribonucleoprotein involved in the co-translational targeting of proteins to membranes. Archaeal SRP consists of a 7S RNA and homologues of the eukaryotic SRP19 and SRP54 proteins. In most bacteria, the SRP consists of a 4.5S RNA and the Ffh protein (a homologue of the eukaryotic SRP54 protein). The record is from RNAcentral. Lineage: Bacteria; Pseudomonadati; Pseudomonadota; Gammaproteobacteria; Enterobacterales; Enterobacteriaceae.